This 430-nucleotide ribosomal RNA is filed under the name Bacteroidota bacterium. RNAcentral describes it as "Bacteroidetes bacterium partial 16S ribosomal RNA". It matches the Rfam family "Bacterial small subunit ribosomal RNA", at positions 355 to 776 of the family's 1533-position model. The record is from RNAcentral. Lineage: Bacteria; Pseudomonadati; Bacteroidota.
UAGGGAAUCUUCGGCAAUGGGGGGAACCCUGACCGAGCAACGCCGCGUGAGUGAAGAAGGUUUUCGGAUCGUAAAGCUCUGUUGUUAAGGAAGAACGAGUGUGAGAAUGGAAAGUUCAUACUGUGACGGUACUUAACCAGAAAGGGACGGCUAACUACGUGCCAGCAGCCGCGGUAAUACGUAGGUCCCGAGCGUUGUCCGGAUUUAUUGGGCGUAAAGCGAGCGCAGGCGGUCAAUUAAGUCUGAUGUGAAAGCCCCCGGCUCAACCGGGGAGGGUCAUUGGAAACUGGUUGACUUGAGUGCAGAAGAGGAGAGUGGAAUUCCAUGUGUAGCGGUGAAAUGCGUAGAUAUAUGGAGGAACACCGGUGGCGAAGGCGACUCUCUGGUCUGUAACUGACGCUGAGGCUCGAAAGCGUGGGUAGCAAACAGG